Sinocyclocheilus grahami is the source of this 164-nucleotide long non-coding RNA. RefSeq lists it as uncharacterized. Lineage: Eukaryota; Metazoa; Chordata; Actinopteri; Cypriniformes; Cyprinidae. The record is from RefSeq and is a predicted model, not a curated record. The transcript has 3 exons.
GUGGAGAUGCAAUGUUACUCAGAGAGAUCAAGUGAAGAGCUCAGUCACAUACACUGUCAAGAGUUCAGCACUAACUUCUACACAAGUCGCAGUGAUCUCUGUGUCUGCCGCUGCAUUCGCUGUUGUCCUUCUUGCUGUCCUCUGGCUGAUCUGGAGAAAAAGAG